GCUCUAGUGGUGCAAUUGAUUAGCACACAGUACUUAUAAUGAUGAGGUUGUGAGUUCAAGCCUCACCUAGAGCA
This 74-nucleotide transfer RNA is filed under the name Chrysemys picta bellii (western painted turtle). RNAcentral's name for it is "tRNA-Ile (TAT) (tRNA-Ile-TAT-8-1)". It matches the Rfam family "tRNA". Rfam says of the family: Transfer RNA (tRNA) molecules are approximately 80 nucleotides in length. The record is from RNAcentral. Lineage: Eukaryota; Metazoa; Chordata; Testudines; Emydidae.